AACGAACGCUGGCGGCAGGCUUAACACAUGCAAGUCGAGCGCCCCGCAAGGGGAGCGGCAGACGGGUGAGUAACGCGUGGGAAUCUACCCAUCCCUACGGAAUAGCUCCGGGAAACUGGAAUUAAUACCGUAUACGCCCUACGGGGGAAAGAUUUAUCGGGGAUGGAUGAGCCCGCGUUGGAUUAGCUAGUUGGUGGGGUAAAGGCCUACCAAGGCGACGAUCCAUAGCUGGUCUGAGAGGAUGAUCAGCCACAUUGGGACUGAGACACGGCCCAAACUCCUACGGGAGGCAGCAGUGGGGAAUAUUGGACAAAGGGGGCAACCCUGAUCCAGCCAUGCCGCGUGAGUGAUGAAGGCCUUAGGGUUGUAAAGCUCUUUCACCGGGGAAGAUAAUGACGGUACCCGGAGAAGAAGCUCCGGCUAACAUCGUGCCAGCCGCCGCAGUAA
This 447-nucleotide ribosomal RNA is filed under the name uncultured bacterium. RNAcentral describes it as "partial 16S ribosomal RNA". It matches the Rfam family "Bacterial small subunit ribosomal RNA", at positions 29 to 523 of the family's 1533-position model. The record is from RNAcentral.